RNAcentral lists this ribosomal RNA (466 nucleotides) under uncultured bacterium. RNAcentral describes it as "partial 16S ribosomal RNA". It matches the Rfam family "Bacterial small subunit ribosomal RNA", at positions 28 to 507 of the family's 1533-position model. The record is from RNAcentral.
GAUGAACGCUGGCGGCGUGCUUAACACAUGCAAGUCGAACGAUGAAGCCCAGCUUGCUGGGUGGAUUAGUGGCGAACGGGUGAGUAACACGUGAGUAACCUGCCCUUGACUCUGGGAUAAGCCUGGGAAACUGGGUCUAAUACUGGAUAUGACUUCUCAUCGCAUGGUGGGGGGUGGAAAGAUUUAUUGGUCUUGGAUGGACUCGCGGCCUAUCAGCUUGUUGGUGAGGUAAUGGCUCACCAAGGCGACGACGGGUAGCCGGCCUGAGAGGGUGACCGGCCACACUGGGACUGAGACACGGCCCAGACUCCUACGGGAGGCAGCAAUGGGGAAUAUUGCACAAUGGGCGCAAGCCUGAUGCAGCGACGCCGCGUGAGGGAUGACGGCCUUCGGGUUGUAAACCUCUUUCAGUAGGGAAGAAGCGAGAGUGACGGUACCUGCAGAAGAAGCGCCGGCUAACUACGUG